AAUAGAUACCCUGGUAGUCCACGCCGUAAACGAUGAGUGCUAAGUGUUAGAGGGUUUCCGCCCUUUAGUGCUGCAGCUAACGCAUUAAGCACUCCGCCUGGGGAGUACGGCCGCAAGGCUGAAACUCAAAGGAAUUGACGGGGGCCCGCACAAGCGGUGGAGCAUGUGGUUUAAUUCGAAGCAACGCGAAGAACCUUACCAGGUCUUGACAUCCUCUGACCUCCCUGGAGACAGGGCCUUCCCCUUCGGGGGACAGAGUGACAGGUGGUGCAUGGUUGUCGUCAGCUCGUGUCGUGAGAUGUUGGGUUAAGUCCCGCAACGAGCGCAACCCUUGACCUUAGUUGCCAGCAUUGAGUUGGGCACUCUAAGGUGACUGCCGGUGACAAACCGGAGGAAGGUGGGGAUGACGUCAAAUCACCAUGCCCCUUAUGACCUGGGCUACACACGUGCUACAAUGGAUGGUACAAAGGGCUGCGAGACCGCGAGGUUAAGCCAAUCCCAGAAAACCAUUCCCAGUUCGGAUUGCAGGCUGCAACCCG
RNAcentral lists this ribosomal RNA (539 nucleotides) under uncultured bacterium. RNAcentral's name for it is "bacterial SSU rRNA". It matches the Rfam family "Bacterial small subunit ribosomal RNA", at positions 777 to 1314 of the family's 1533-position model. The record is from RNAcentral.